ACACAUGCAAGUCGAACGGUAACAGGAAGCAGCUUGCUGCUUUGCUGACGAGUGGCGGACGGGUGAGUAAUGUCUGGGAAACUGCCUGAUGGAGGGGGAUAACUACUGGAAACGGUGGCUAAUACCGCAUAACGUCGCAAGACCAAAGAGGGGGACCUUCGGGCCUCUUGCCAUCAGAUGUGCCCAGAUGGGAUUAGCUUGUUGGUGAGGUAACGGCUCACCAAGGCGACGAUCCCUAGCUGGUCUGAGAGGAUGACCAGCCACACUGGAACUGAGACACGGUCCAGACUCCUACGGGAGGCAGCAGUGGGGAAUAUUGCACAAUGGGCGCAAGCCUGAUGCAGCCAUGCCGCGUGUAUGAAGAAGGCCUUCGGGUUGUAAAGUACUUUCAGCGGGGAGGAAGGUGUUGUGGUUAAUAACCACAGCAAUUGACGUUACCCGCAGAAGAAGCACCGGCUAACUCCGUGCCAGCAGCCGCGGUAAUACGGAGGGUGCAAGCGUUAAUCGGAAUUACUGGGCGUAAAGCGCACGCAGGCGGUCUGUCAAGUCGGAUGUGAAAUCCCCGGGCUCAACCUGGGAACUGCAUUCGAAACUGGCAGGCUUGAGUCUUGUAGAGGGGGGUAGAAUUCCAGGUGUAGCGGUGAAAUGCGUAGAGAUCUGGAGGAAUACCGGUGGCGAAGGCGGCCCCCUGGACAAAGACUGACGCUCAGGUGCGAAAGCGUGGGGAGCAAACAGGAUUAGAUACCCUGGUAGUCCACGCCGUAAACGAUGUCUACUUGGAGGUUGUGCCCUUGAGGCGUGGCUUCCGGAGCUAACGCGUUAAGUAGACCGCCUGGGGAGUACGGCCGCAAGGUUAAAACUCAAAUGAAUUGACGGGGGCCCGCACAAGCGGUGGAGCAUGUGGUUUAAUUCGAUGCAACGCGAAGAACCUUACCUGGUCUUGACAUCCACGGAAGUUUUCAGAGAUGAGAAUGUGCCUUCGGGAACCGUGAGACAGGUGCUGCAUGGCUGUCGUCAGCUCGUGUUGUGAAAUGUUGGGUUAAGUCCCGCAACGAGCGCAACCCUUAUCCUUUGUUGCCAGCGGUCCGGCCGGGAACUCAAAGGAGACUGCCAGUGAUAAACUGGAGGAAGGUGGGGAUGACGUCAAGUCAUCAUGGCCCUUACGACCAGGGCUACACACGUGCUACAAUGGCGCAUACAAAGAGAAGCGACCUCGCGAGAGCAAGCGGACCUCAUAAAGUGCGUCGUAGUCCGGAUUGGAGUCUGCAACUCGACUCCAUGAAGUCGGAAUCGCUAGUAAUCGUGGAUCAGAAUGCCACGGUGAAUACGUUCCCGGGCCUUGUACACACCGCCCGUCACACCAUGGGAGUGGGUUGCAAAAGAAGUAGGUAGCUUAACCUUCGGGAGGGCGCUUACCACUUUGUGAUUCAUGACUGGGGUGAAGUCGUAACAAGGUAACCGUAGGGGAACCUGC
Molecule: ribosomal RNA, 1474 nt
Filed under: Salmonella enterica subsp. enterica serovar Kedougou
Lineage: Bacteria; Pseudomonadati; Pseudomonadota; Gammaproteobacteria; Enterobacterales; Enterobacteriaceae
Description: bacterial SSU rRNA
Rfam family: Bacterial small subunit ribosomal RNA
Source: RNAcentral